AGAGUUUGAUCCUGGCUCAGGACGAACGCUGGCGGCGUGCCUAAUACAUGCAAGUAGAACGCUGAAGAGAGGAGCUUGCUCUUCUUGGAUGAGUUGCGAACGGGUGAGUAACGCGUAGGUAACCUGCCUUGUAGCGGGGGAUAACUAUUGGAAACGAUAGCUAAUACCGCAUAACAAUGGAUGACACAUGUCAUUUAUUUGAAAGGGGCAAUUGCUCCACUACAAGAUGGACCUGCGUUGUAUUAGCUAGUAGGUGAGGUAAUGGCUCACCUAGGCGACGAUACAUAGCCGACCUGAGAGGGUGAUCGGCCACACUGGGACUGAGACACGGCCCAGACUCCUACGGGAGGCAGCAGUAGGGAAUCUUCGGCAAUGGGGGCAACCCUGACCGAGCAACGCCGCGUGAGUGAAGAAGGUUUUCGGAUCGUAAAGCUCUGUUGUAAGUCAAGAACGGGUGUGAGAGUGGAAAGUUCACACUGUGACGGUAGCUUACCAGAAAGGGACGGCUAACUACGUGCCAGCAGCCGCGGUAAUACGUAGGUCCCGAGCGUUGUCCGGAUUUAUUGGGCGUAAAGCGAGCGCAGGCGGUUUGAUAAGUCUGAAGUUAAAGGCUGUGGCUCAACCAUAGUUCGCUUUGGAAACUGUCAAACUUGAGUGCAGAAGGGGAGAGUGGAAUUCCAUGUGUAGCGGUGAGAUGCGUAGAUAUAUGGAGGAACACCGGUGGCGAAAGCGGCUCUCUGGUCUGUAACUGACGCUGAGGCUCGAAAGCGUGGGGAGCGAACAGGAUUAGAUACCCUGGUAGUCCACGCCGUAAACGAUGAGUGCUAGGUGUUGGAUCCUUUCCGGGAUUCAGUGCCGCAGCUAACGCAUUAAGCACUCCGCCUGGGGAGUACGACCGCAAGGUUGAAACUCAAAGGAAUUGACGGGGGCCCGCACAAGCGGUGGAGCAUGUGGUUUAAUUCGAAGCAACGCGAAGAACCUUACCAGGUCUUGACAUCCCGAUGCUAUUUCUAGAGAUAGAAAGUUACUUCGGUACAUCGGUGACAGGUGGUGCAUGGUUGUCGUCAGCUCGUGUCGUGAGAUGUUGGGUUAAGUCCCGCAACGAGCGCAACCCCUAUUGUUAGUUGCCAUCAUUCAGUUGGGCACUCUAGCGAGACUGCCGGUAAUAAACCGGAGGAAGGUGGGGAUGACGUCAAAUCAUCAUGCCCCUUAUGACCUGGGCUACACACGUGCUACAAUGGUUGGUACAACGAGUUGCGAGUCGGUGACGGCGAGCUAAUCUCUUAAAGCCAAUCUCAGUUCGGAUUGUAGGCUGCAACUCGCCUACAUGAAGUCGGAAUCGCUAGUAAUCGCGGAUCAGCACGCCGCGGUGAAUACGUUCCCGGGCCUCGUACACACCGCCCGUCACACCACGAGAGUUUGUAACACCCGAAGUCGGUGAGGUAACCUUUUGGAGCCAGCCGCCUAAGGUGGGACAGAUGAUUGGGGUGAAGUCGUAACAAGGUA
Molecule: ribosomal RNA, 1506 nt
Filed under: metagenome
Description: bacterial SSU rRNA
Rfam family: Bacterial small subunit ribosomal RNA
Source: RNAcentral